AGGAUUAGUUAGGUUUUUAAACUUGAAUUCAAAAUUAAAACCAAUUUGAAAAUUAAAUUCAAAAUUCAACUCUAAUUCAAACUCAAAACUUAAACUAAUCCUAUCCUUAUCUAUAAGGGAGAAAGGGGUGGCAUUAAAACUCUUUUGGUGUGAAAAUUCAACACGCAAAAUAUGAAUUUGCAUGAAGAACGGUGUGGCAUGG
Molecule: long non-coding RNA, 202 nt
Filed under: Elaeis guineensis (African oil palm)
Lineage: Eukaryota; Viridiplantae; Streptophyta; Magnoliopsida; Arecales; Arecaceae
Description: long non-coding RNA (EGUI_LNC009863)
Source: RNAcentral